UACAGAGGGUGCAAGCGUUAAUCGGAAUUACUGGGCGUAAAGCGCACGUAGGCGGACUGCUAAGUCGGGGGUGAAAUCCUGAGGCUCAACCUCAGAAUUGCCUUCGAUACUGGCGGUCUCGAGUGCGGGAGAGGUGAGUGGAAUUCCCAGUGUAGAGGUGAAAUUCGUAGAUAUUGGGAAGAACACCGGUGGCGAAGGCGGGUCUCUGGGCAACAACUGACGCUGAGGAGCGAAAGCGUGGGGAGCGAACAGG
This 253-nucleotide ribosomal RNA is filed under the name uncultured bacterium. RNAcentral's name for it is "partial 16S ribosomal RNA". It matches the Rfam family "Bacterial small subunit ribosomal RNA", at positions 524 to 776 of the family's 1533-position model. The record is from RNAcentral.